UGGUGAAAGCCUUUUUGAGUUAUUGUCCGAAGUGUUGAAAAUCCCCCCUUUUUUUAUGAAUAAAGCCCCAUAAAUCCAAAACUUAAAAUCUGAAAUUUAUGAAAAUUGAAAGGGAGCUUACAUCAAUAGAUAUAAACAAUUCACCAAAGUUUCAUGGACAUUGGUGAAAGCCUUUUUGAGUUAUUGUCCGAAGUGUUGAAAAUCCCCCUUUUU
RNAcentral lists this long non-coding RNA (213 nucleotides) under Mytilus galloprovincialis (Mediterranean mussel). The record is from RNAcentral. Lineage: Eukaryota; Metazoa; Mollusca; Bivalvia; Mytilida; Mytilidae.